CGGCGCGGAUCCGCUUCAUCGCCGCCUGCUUCGGCAGGGGGAGGAAAGUCCGGGCAACGCAGAGCGCCACGCAAGCUAACGGCUUGAUGUCCGUGAGGGCAUAGACAAUGUAACAGAGAAUGACCGCCCGUAAGGGUAAGGGUGAAAAGGUGGGGUAAGAGCCCACCGCGAAGGUAGUGAUACGCUUCGGUCCGUACAUCUGGUGGGUUGCAAGACCAUGUACACCGGCAGUCAAGGGUUGCUCGCCCGAUGCCGGGGGGUAGGUUGCUGGAGGCGGCGGGCGACCGUCGUCGUAGAUAAAUGAUGGAGGCUCCGGGCGACCGGAGUACAGAACCCGGCUUACAGGGUCCGCCGGCAU
Molecule: RNase P RNA, 358 nt
Filed under: Alistipes sp.
Lineage: Bacteria; Pseudomonadati; Bacteroidota; Bacteroidia; Bacteroidales; Rikenellaceae
Description: RNase P RNA component class A
Rfam family: Bacterial RNase P class A
About the family: Ribonuclease P (RNase P) is a ubiquitous endoribonuclease, found in archaea, bacteria and eukarya as well as chloroplasts and mitochondria.
Source: RNAcentral